This is a long non-coding RNA of Cyprinus carpio (common carp), 671 nucleotides long. RefSeq lists it as uncharacterized. The record is from RefSeq and is a predicted model, not a curated record. The transcript has 3 exons. NCBI's taxonomy places the organism in Eukaryota, Metazoa, Chordata, Actinopteri, Cypriniformes, Cyprinidae.
UGAAAACACAUUAAAAUCCCGCUUCUUGUUUGACCUGAAUACCGCAGGGAGCAAAAGCUAUAAAACACCCACAAUGCAACUCUUUAAGUUCAGUUUCCACUGAGACCAUAUAUAGCUCCAGAAAAAAAUGUCAGAUUCAAGCACAGGUUCUGCUGGAGCUAUAAAGGCAAUAGACAAACAGUCUGUGCAUCAGACCUGAUCUGGAGAGGUGGUGUUGUGGCUGGCCACAGCUGUGAAAGAGCUGGUGGAGAACAGCAUCGAUGCUGGUGCCACUAAUGUCGGUGAGCUCAAGGGAUGACAGCAUGAGGAAGCAUUUGAGGUUUUGCUGCAUUUGAUCAUGUGGUUUGUUUUCAUACUGAUGUCAAGCUAAAAGGCAAUGGAAUAAAGUUGGUGGAAGUUUUCAACAAUGGAAAAGGUGAUGAGGAGCAAAACUUUGAGCAAGGAUAUGUUAAAGGAUAUGGAAAUCAUUGUCAGUUCAACCUGGGUUUUAUUAUGACCAAGCUGAAACCCGACCUUUUCAUAAUUGACCAGCAUGCCACAGACACAAUUUUGAGAUGCUACAACAGAAUACGGUCUUAAAGGGACAGGGACUCAUAGUGUAAGUCACACUCUGCAGAGAUAAGUGAAACUGGAAGCAGGUUUUUAUUUUAAAGCUUUUUUUUUCUUUCUUA